GCUGGGUGAGGUGGCUCACGCCUGUAAUCCCAGCACUUUGGGAGGCUGAGGUGGGUGGAUCACCUGAGGUCAGGAGUUUGAGACCAGCCUGGCCAACAUGGUGAAACCCCAUCUCUA
Molecule: unclassified non-coding RNA, 117 nt
Organism: Callithrix jacchus (white-tufted-ear marmoset)
Lineage: Eukaryota; Metazoa; Chordata; Mammalia; Primates; Cebidae
Rfam family: Metazoan signal recognition particle RNA
About the family: The signal recognition particle (SRP) is a universally conserved ribonucleoprotein. It is involved in the co-translational targeting of proteins to membranes. The eukaryotic SRP consists of a 300-nucleotide 7S RNA and six proteins: SRPs 72, 68, 54, 19, 14, and 9.
Source: Ensembl